This is a small nucleolar RNA of Mercurialis annua (annual mercury), 82 nucleotides long. RefSeq annotates it as small nucleolar RNA U61. The record is from RefSeq and is a predicted model, not a curated record. Lineage: Eukaryota; Viridiplantae; Streptophyta; Magnoliopsida; Malpighiales; Euphorbiaceae. The transcript has a single exon.
CAGCACUGAGGAAAAUCUUUGUGCUUGAGAUGGGUUCUCCCAUCGCUGACGGCAACACAACCCUCUAAGAAGUUCUGAGCUG